This is a long non-coding RNA of Drosophila innubila, 249 nucleotides long. RefSeq lists it as uncharacterized. Lineage: Eukaryota; Metazoa; Arthropoda; Insecta; Diptera; Drosophilidae. The record is from RefSeq and is a predicted model, not a curated record. The transcript is spliced from 2 exons.
GGGACACGUGGACCGUAGCGUGGUCCUUUUUUGUGAAGGAAAUUCAAUUAGCCAACCCAACGAUUGGUUGGUGGCUUUGUUUUUGGGACUAGACGCUAAUGAUGCCUCGUACAAUGGGAUGAUGUAUCUAUCCAUAUGAGAGAUGAGUGAUCUGAAUGGGACUCACUCCUCCGGCCAUAAACAAAUCAAAUCAAUUGCCCACAAUUAAUAACACCAAUUUGAGCUUAUUGCUCGAACUGUUCGACUGCA